Molecule: transfer RNA, 77 nt
Filed under: Wolbachia endosymbiont of Cimex lectularius
Lineage: Bacteria; Pseudomonadati; Pseudomonadota; Alphaproteobacteria; Rickettsiales; Anaplasmataceae
Description: tRNA-Met
Rfam family: tRNA
About the family: Transfer RNA (tRNA) molecules are approximately 80 nucleotides in length. Their secondary structure includes four short double-helical elements and three loops (D, anti-codon, and T loops).
Source: RNAcentral
GGGAUUGUAGCUCAGUUGGUUAGAGCAGUUCGCUCAUAACGAAUUGGUCGUAGGUUCGAGUCCUACCAAUCCCACCG